GACGAACGCUGGCGGCGUGCUUAACACAUGCAAGUCGAACGGAAAGGCCCUGCUUUUGUGGGGUGCUCGAGUGGCGAACGGGUGAGUAACACGUGAGUAACCUGCCCUUGACUUUGGGAUAACUUCAGGAAACUGGGGCUAAUACCGGAUAGGAGCUCCUGCUGCAUGGUGGGGGUUGGAAAGUUUCGGCGGUUGGGGAUGGACUCGCGGCUUAUCAGCUUGUUGGUGGGGUAGUGGCUUACCAAGGCUUUGACGGGUAGCCGGCCUGGGAGGGUGACCGGCCACAGUGGGACUGAGAUACGGCCCAGACUCCUACGGGAGGCAGCAGUGGGGAAUAUUGCACAAUGGGCGGAAGCCUGAUGCAGCAACGCCGCGUGCGGGAUGACGGCCUUCGGGUUGUAAACCGCUUUCGCCUGUGACGAAGCGUGAGUGACGGUAAUGGGUAAAGAAGCACCGGCUAACUACGU
This 467-nucleotide ribosomal RNA is filed under the name uncultured bacterium. RNAcentral describes it as "partial 16S ribosomal RNA". It matches the Rfam family "Bacterial small subunit ribosomal RNA", at positions 28 to 506 of the family's 1533-position model. The record is from RNAcentral.